Molecule: ribosomal RNA, 497 nt
Filed under: uncultured bacterium
Lineage: Bacteria
Description: partial 16S ribosomal RNA
Rfam family: Bacterial small subunit ribosomal RNA
Source: RNAcentral
GAUGAACGCUGGCGGCGUGCCUAAUACAUGCAAGUCGAGCGAACGGACGAGAAGCUUGCUUCUCUGAUGUUAGCGGCGGACGGGUGAGUAACACGUGGAUAACCUACCUAUAAGACUGGGAUAACUUCGGGAAACCGGAGCUAAUAACGGAUAAUAUUUUGAACCGCAUGGUUCAAAAGUGAAAGACGGUCUUGCUGUCACUUAUAGAUGGAUCCGCGCUGCAUUAGCUAGUUGGUAAGGUAACGGCUUACCAAGGCAACGAUGCAUAGCCGACCUGGGAGGGUGAUCGGCCACACGGGAACGGAGACGCGGUCCAGACUCCUACGAGAGGCAGCAGUAGGGAAUCUGCCGCAAUGGGCGAAAGCCUGACGGAGCAACGCCGCGUGAGUGAUGAAGGUCUUCGGAUCGUAAAACUCUGUUAUUAGGGAAGAACAUAUGUGUAAGGAACUGUGCACAUCUUGACGGUACCUAAUCAGAAAGCCACGGCUAACUACGUG